This 617-nucleotide ribosomal RNA is filed under the name Pleurotus cornucopiae (cornucopia mushroom). RNAcentral describes it as "eukaryotic LSU rRNA". The stretch from base 219 to 372 matches the Rfam family "5.8S ribosomal RNA". The record is from RNAcentral. Lineage: Eukaryota; Fungi; Basidiomycota; Agaricomycetes; Agaricales; Pleurotaceae.
AGUUGUUGCUGGCCUCUAGGGGCAUGUGCACGCUUCACUAGUCUUUCAACCACCUGUGAACUUUUGAUAGAUCUGUGAAGUCGUCUUUCAAGUCGUCAGACUUGGUUUGCUGGGAUUUAAACGUCUCGGUGUGACAACGCAGUCUAUUUACUUAACACACCCCAAAUGUAUGUCUACGAAUGUCAUUUAAUGGGCCUUGUGCCUAUAAACCAUAAUACAACUUUCAACAACGGAUCUCUUGGCUCUCGCAUCGAUGAAGAACGCAGCGAAAUGCGAUAAGUAAUGUGAAUUGCAGAAUUCAGUGAAUCAUCGAAUCUUUGAACGCACCUUGCGCCCCUUGGUAUUCCGAGGGGCAUGCCUGUUUGAGUGUCAUUAAAUUCUCAAACUCACUUUGGUUUUUUCCAAUUGUGAUGUUUGGAUUGUUGGGGGCUGCUGGCCUUGACAGGUCGGCUCCUCUUAAAUGCAUUAGCAGGACUUCUCAUUGCCUCUGCGCAUGAUGUGAUAAUUAUCACUCAUCAAUAGCACGCAUGAAUAGAGUCCAGCUCUCUAAUCGUCCGCAAGGACAAUUUGACAAUUUGACCUCAAAUCAGGUAGGACUACCCGCUGAACUUAAGCAU